Molecule: non-coding RNA, 535 nt
Organism: Kogia breviceps (pygmy sperm whale)
Lineage: Eukaryota; Metazoa; Chordata; Mammalia; Artiodactyla; Physeteridae
Source: RefSeq, a predicted model, not a curated record
AAUGAUUAUGGGAUCCAACAGCGCCUGCCUCUACAUCGGGUUUCCUUCAGAGCGAGGCAGUGAGGACUUGAGCAGAUUUGAUUAUGACUUUUUCCAGCUGGAGAGAGCGGCUUCGGAGGGAGUGAGUGUGGACAAGCUCGUGGGGAUGGCAAGGCAGACCCCAGUGUCCUGGCUGUGUUCCAGGACUACAUCAAACUGAUGCCACUGGUUGCAGAAGCGAAUCAAAUGAGUGAAGAGCUGAAGAAGAGCACGUGGUGAGGAGGAUGUGGUUAUUGACCCACUGGAGCUGCUGGGCAAGAGAAUGGAUUUCCAGAUUCGCAUUGUGCGGGGCCUUGGCACCAAGUGGCUAAAGGAAGGUGCAGAGCGGGGUGUUCAGGUGGGGUACCAGCCUGCCCUGCAGAGCUGCUGAACACAAACUGCCCACUUUGUGGGCCCUGGUGGGAGGGAGUCUUGCCUCAAGUUUUAAGAAUGAGCUAUCAUGUCAUUUUCUUAAGUUUUUUUGCUUGUUCAACCCCCAAAUGACUAUUUCCUCCAA